GCCAGGCAUCGUUGUGAGUGCCUGUAGUCCCAGAUACUAGGGAGGCUAAGGUAGGAGAAUCACCUAAGCCCAGCCUGGACAACACAGUGAAACCCUUCU
Molecule: small RNA, 99 nt
Filed under: Marmota monax (woodchuck)
Lineage: Eukaryota; Metazoa; Chordata; Mammalia; Rodentia; Sciuridae
Source: RNAcentral